This 409-nucleotide long non-coding RNA is filed under the name Cicer arietinum (chickpea). Its description in RNAcentral is "long non-coding RNA (CARI_LNC002058)". Lineage: Eukaryota; Viridiplantae; Streptophyta; Magnoliopsida; Fabales; Fabaceae. The record is from RNAcentral.
UGUAGUUGAGUUCGUACAAAAAAAAAAAUUAUAUACUUUAACAGUCUAUAUCAAUAUGUUCCGUCAUCUUCACAUCAACUUCCUCAACCUCAACCAGAUCAAACUCCAUACCGACCAACUAUACCAACAGUUGGCUUGAUCAGACCAGAUUUAAAUCAACAUCAACCAGUUAUGGCUCCUCCUUCGACUAGUGGUGGUGUAGUUGAAGAUGAAAUCCAAUUUCAAACAAUGAUGUCUCCUCUAAACACAAAUUAACAAUACUUUUGAGGGAUUUCUGUCGUCGGGUAACAUUCCAGCAAAUAAUGAUGGAGGGAGUGGAGCGAUUGAUCAGAUGAAUUAUUACGAUGAUUGAUGUACUUGAAUAAUUUUAUAAUUUUAUUUUUGGUUUGUAUGAAUACAUUAUAUCUUG